Molecule: ribosomal RNA, 214 nt
Filed under: uncultured Actinomycetales bacterium
Lineage: Bacteria; Bacillati; Actinomycetota; Actinomycetes; Actinomycetales
Description: partial 16S ribosomal RNA
Rfam family: Bacterial small subunit ribosomal RNA
Source: RNAcentral
CGUGGGUGAUCUGCCCUGCACUCUGGGAUAAGCCUGGGAAACUGGGUCUAAUACCGGAUAGGACCAUGCUUUAGUGUGUGUGGUGGAAAGUUUUUCGGUGUAGGAUGAGCCCGCGGCCUAUCAGCUUGUUGGUGGGGUAAUGGCCUACCAAGGCGGCGACGGGUAGCCGGCCUGAGAGGGUGAUCGGCCACAUUGGGACUGAGAUACGGCCCAG